This is an RNA transcript of Carlito syrichta (Philippine tarsier), 393 nucleotides long. It is a transcript of the gene named 40S ribosomal protein S24 pseudogene, with no coding region annotated. The record is from RefSeq and is a predicted model, not a curated record. The transcript has a single exon. Lineage: Eukaryota; Metazoa; Chordata; Mammalia; Primates; Tarsiidae.
AUGAACGACACAAUGACUAUUCGGACCAGAAAAUUCAUGACCAACCGUCUGCUUCAACGGAAACAAAUGGUCAUCGAUGUCCUUCACCACGGGAAAGCAACAGUACCUAAGACAGAAAUUCGGGGAAAACUAGCCAAAAUGUACAAGACAACACCAGAUUUCAUCUUUGUAUUUGGAUUCAGAACUCAUUUUGGUGGUGGCAGGACAACUGGCUUUGGCAUGAUUUAUGAUUCCUUGGAUUAUGCAAAGAAAAUGAACCCAAACAUAGACUUGCAAGACAUGGCCUGUAUGAGAAGAAAAAGACCUCAAGGAAGCAGCGAAAGGAACGCAAGAACAGAAUGAAGAAAGUCAGGGGGACUGCAAAAGCCAAUGUUGGUGCUGUCAAAAAGUGAA